Molecule: long non-coding RNA, 18863 nt
Filed under: Lactuca sativa (garden lettuce)
Lineage: Eukaryota; Viridiplantae; Streptophyta; Magnoliopsida; Asterales; Asteraceae
Description: long non-coding RNA (LSAT_LNC005740)
Rfam family: tRNA (bases 9411-9482)
Source: RNAcentral
CACACACGCACACCUCACGAUUUGCAACAAUAACACACACAUACAUAUGCGAACACAAGCUCCAACACUGAAACACGCACACAAACUUAACCACCCUCGUGGUGACAUGCGGUAGCCGAAGAGCAACAACAAAAGGGGCAGCCGUUCGGAGCGGCGGCAGCGGCAGAACGUGAUGAAGCAACAUAAAAGAAACUGAGAAGGAAAGGUGUCACGACCCUUAACCGAGAACGACAACAUCGACAACUACGAACCUCCUUUCUUCCUACUUCUCCCCUGUCACCGCAUUCAAACUUCGAUCUCCAUCUUCAUCGACAGUGGGAGCAGUGGCGGUGGUGCUCGAUGGUUCACGACAACGGCAAGGGGGUGGCGGAUGGAGAAUAAUUCUAGGGUUAGGGUUUAUAUGUGUAGUCGGUUAGCAAGAGGGUAGAGGGGGAAUGAGUUUUAGCCCGCCUCCAUUUCAAACUUAUGACCAUUUCACACUUUUAGUCACUCCUUCCUAAAUCAUUUUCGAAUUAAGUCAAUAAUUUACUUUAUAGUCGCCUGCUUCCAAAAACCCUUACAAUUCAAGUCCAAAAGUUACCAAACAACCCUCGAUUUCUAGAAUUUUUAACAUUUAACUCAUCGUGCUAAUGCUCUAACAAAUUAUUACGGGUUUAGGGCUAACAUAAAAAUAUAAAAAUACAUCUCAGGGUUUUAGGGUUUAUUAUUUAUUAUUUAUCUUAUUUAUUUUCUUAUUUUAUUUUAUCUAUUUUAUUUUAAAUGGGAUGUUACAUUUUCCUUUCUAUCUGAUGCCUAAUUAUAGAUUAUUCGAUUUCACUAUGUUUACCCAAUAACUGUUUUGUAUUCUCAUUCGGUUUAUAUUUACUAAAGGCUUGUUUAAUUUGUAUAUAUAUAUGUUUUUCUUCACAGGUUGGUUUCUUUAAUCCAUAGCAGCUUUGAAGGAGCUUUUGCCACCUGCAAAAUCAUCUUCUUCCAUCUUCUAUAAUCCUUCAAGAGACCCAUGAUUUAAGCAAAGAUACAACACCCCAAACAGAGGAUGAAAAUAUUGAAAUCAUCGAAAAGAAAUUUGUCCCAUUAUACAACACACUUAAGCGUGUAAAGAAUCAGCCAUUAAAACCAUAUGACUUUGGUGACGGUGGAGCUUUUUCCGAGAUACACUAUUCAUAGUACCCUCUUGAUAUUGGUAGGAAAAAAGAUUCAUCUUCAGGCCCAAAAACACUACCCGUAACAGUCGAUAAACAUGGUAAUUUAACAUUUAAUGCGACCAUGAAGCAGAAAGAAAACACUUUAAAGAUUGCUCAUUUACAGCAUAAAGAUCUUGUACCCAAGAUUCUAAAAGAUGAAGAGGAAGCGGAAAAACAGAAAAAGAUCGAAGAAACUACCUUUCAAACAAAAGCAACUCUCGAAAAGAUUGUGAAUGUAAGACUAAAGGCAACACAACCCAAAAACGCUACCAUACAAUCUCAAGAUUCAAAGUUUAUCAAAUACAAACCUCCCUAGACUGUAACAAGAUAUUGGAAAAUCCUUCCUUGUAUUAAAGUCCAAGUUUGAAGGUUAACUUGAUAUGGCAAAUGUUAUGGAUGUGACAAGCAAACCGGUUAAAACAAGUUAGAGGAACUGUAACACUAAAAGACCAUCAAGAUUGUCCACAUGUUCAUUUUCAUAAAACCACAAAAAUAAUUUAAAGAAUAAAUGAAAAUUCUGAGGACAUUUGAGUCCUUUUCCUGUUCGUAUCAAUAUCAUCAGUUGUACAAUUUCGUGUGCUAUUAUUUUUUUCAAAUAAAACUUUAGGAGAAAAGAAUAAUAAUAAUAAUAUAAUGACGAAGCCAAUUGAAUUCCCCUCAAUCGAUGCUUGUGGCUUCCAAACCCUAAUUUUCUCACACGUCGCUUAACCAAAACCCCCUUUUGUUCACGAAACGGAAAACUAACAAAAAGAUCAAGAUCCGAAAUCAAUUAAAACUGUUCAAUUUUGUAUUAUAACUGCGUCCUUGAACACGCAACAAGCUGUCUUUUCGGAAUUGAAGAAGAUAGAAGGGAGUGAAAAUCCCCAAUUUCAUGACCCGACAUCGUCAAAUCAAUAGAUCAACAAUCGUUUUCUGCUCUGGUGAUUUUCUGUUCAUAUACACGAAUUGAUUGGAAUUUGAGCUUGGAAUCUAUGUAAUUGUAUAAGUAUCGAUGAGAAUCGAGGAAAUUAGGGUUUCUUUAUAUUUUCUUAGCUAGCAGAGUUUCGUUGUACUUAUAGUAAUCGUGCAGAGGUCUUUUGAUGUAUUUCGUUGUUGGUUAUCUUAGUCAUAUCUGAUACUUAAUUACACUUUGGUGACGUAAGUUUCAGAUGCCUAAUCCAUGUGUUCGAUAUGCUCGGUGAACAUAUAAUUAGUUGAUCAUUCUCCUGACGCGUUCUAUAAAAAUAACGCUUAGGUUGCAUUGCGGAAUUGAUGAAUAUGCUGUGCAGGUAGAAAUUGCUAGUCUUGGUUGGCUUGAUGGGUGCUCCUAAGCAGAAAUGGACAUCUGAAGAAGAAGCAGCUCUGAAAGCUGGAGUUCUUAAGCACGGAGCAGGAAAAUGGCGCACAAUUCUUAAAGAUCCAGAGUUUAGCAGUGUGCUUUACCUGCGCUCUAAUGUGGAUCUUAAGGUUUGCAUCUUUUUCAUAUGGCAUUUUCUGCUGUAGGGUAUUACAUAUCUGAAAUUUUCUUUUAAUUGUUGGUUUAUUGACUUGGAUCAGGACAAAUGGAGGAACAUGAGUGUAAUGGCAAAUGGAUGGGGAUCUAGGGAGAAGGCUAGGUUAGCCCUGAAAAGAGUGCAACAUGUCCCUAAGGAUGACAACCCUCUCUCACUCACACCCGCUGAUCCCAGUGAUGAAGACUCAGGUGAUGUGAGGCCUCUUCAGUCUUCUAGUGGUUCUCCACAAGUUGGUGCUUCAAAAAGAUCUAUGAUAAGGUUAGGCUCUAUUUCUUUAUUCUUUUUCACACUAACUGCUGUAUGGAUAAAUAAAUGAUGUUUGUCUGGAUAAAUGAUGAUGAAUUGAUGUAUGGAUAAAGUGAUGUAUGAACAAAGACUAUUUCUUUGUUACAUUGAAUAAACCUUCUGAACGACAAUAAAUGACGAUUGUACCCUUUGUCUGGAAUUAAUGAUAAAAUCAACUGACAAAUAGCUUGAACCAUUUUACCUUUCGUGUCAUGAACAGGCUGGACAAUCUUAUAAUGGAGGCAAUAAACAACUUGAAGGAGCAUGGUGGCUCUAAUAAGACUACCAUUGGCACAUACAUAGAGGUAUAUUAUGUUUUUUUUAGCUUUUUUAGUUUAGUUUCUUUUUAAUCAGCAUAUUUAAUAAUAACAAGUUUUGAACCUUAAAUGCCUCUAGUUCCACUUUUUAAAUGACAUUUGUCUCUUGUUUUACAGGAGCAAUAUUGGGCACCUCCAAAUUUUAAGAGACUUCUAUCAAUGAAGUUAAAGUUUCUGACUGCAACUGGAAAACUAAUCAAGGUAUAAUCUGUGUUAUCAAAUGCCAUAUGUCAUCUGAUUUUUAUGUAGGUAUCCACGAAAUAUGUUCUCAAAUCAUGUUAAUAUGUUUUUUUUUUGUUAAAUUAUUUAUUGGUUGGAUGUUUUUUUUUUUUUUUUGUGUUGCAGACAAAACGCAAAUAUAAAAUCGCAUCAGCAAAUGCAUCAUCAUCUGACAAGAAAAGGGUUUCUACCAUGUUACGAUUAGAGGGAAGACACAAGGGUUCUUCUCCAAAAGUUGAUAAGGAUGAAAUCAAUGUUCCUACAAAAGCUCAGAUUGAUUUAGAACUACAAAAGAUGAGGAGUAUGACACCACAGGAGGCGGCGGCGGCCGCCGCUCNNNNNNNNNNNNNNNNNNNNNNNNNNNNNNNNNNNNNNNNGGAGGCGGAGGCAGCUGAGGCUGAUGCAGAAGCUGCUCAAGCUUUUGCAGAGGCGGCUAUGAAGACACUUAAAGGGAGGACCGCGCAAAGGCUGGUAAAUAUUAAUCCUUUCUUUUUGACUGGAUAAGACAAAACAGGUUGUACUGUGUUUAACAUCUGUUAAAAGAGACUAGACUAAUGUCAAUGGAACAAAAAUUACAAUAUUUUAUUUUAUGCAUAUAAUGUUGUGACAAUUAUAACUUGUUGCAGAUGAUUCGUGCUUGAUGGAAAUGGGAAUGACGAGGGAUUUUGUUAUACAUGCUUUGAUGUGGAUUUUUGAUGAACUUUGCAGUUGUAAAUAUAGUUUGUUGAUUCAGAAUCACUCAACUGGCAAAUGAGAACAUUUGGUGGUUAUAUUUUUUUUUUUUUAUAUAUUUUAUAAAAAGGGAGUAAGAUAGAAUAAAACAUUGGUUGAUGUUGUUGUUGGUUGUCAACAUGAGAUGUUUUGAUUUUACAUAUUGUAUUGUGAUUUUUUUUGGUAUGCUUAAAUUCGUUUUAUUUUGUUUUAGAAGUUGAGAGCUUGGGAAAAAUUUGGUAUUAGCCUUGAAAUAAAUAUGUUCAUAUCUUACAUCCAUGUCAUCAAUAUGAAUAUCAAAAUACAACAAAUAUGUGUCAUCUAUGAUUCAUUAUGUAAAUAGUUACAUCGGGAGAUAUUUAACAUAGACUCUUUUGGCGUUGAAUCUGAUUGUAUUUUGCACAUUGUUAAUUGUUAAGUUGGAAUUAUUAUAAUGGCUAAAAGUGUAUUGCUACUAUAGAGAAAAGUGUUUUUAGUUUUAGCUAAAAGUCAAAGUAUGUUGUCUUAAUGAAUAAAAGUCAAAUUAUUUUUACUUGGGAUCUUAAAGAAAAAGAUAAGAAAGGAAUUAAUGUUGUUGGAAGGGCAUUGCAUUCUUUUUGGAAGUACUUAUAAGGAGAAAGGGAAUCUAGAGCUAAUUCGAGAGUAUUUUUCACACUUUAAGUAGCAUUUUGUAUGUGAGAUUGGACAAAACAGAAUAAAAUAAAUGUAGAUAAACACAGAUAAAUUGUUAGAUAGUCAUAAGAGACUAUUUUAAAAUUUUAGUUGAGAUAAUGUUAGAUUUUUAAGAUAAUAGUUUUGUCUAAUAAUAUAUAUUCCACCAAUCACAAAAUGACAUUUGGUAUAAAAACUAAAAAAAAUAUGGUGAGUGUGUUGCUUGAUAUCACUCAUUAUUAUUAUUUUUAAAUUUUUUUGGCUCAUUGUGUAUCUCCUCAUUCACAUGGUAUCCAGCGUCGAUAAUGCUUAACCACACCCAUUGUAUCAUUACCAUAACAUGGCUCAUAGAACACUCCACCACCUAACAUGGUUUUAGCAAACUUUAGAGAAAACCACUUACGGUGAGUAAAUGCAUCAAUUAAGGGUUACACAACUCACACUGUAAAAACAAUAUAUAAAUAUUAAAAAAAAAAAAAAAAACCCUUUUGUGGAGCGUACUAAGCUUUAAUGGUAAAGUGUAUGACUAUAAAUGGAAACCAAACCUUAACAAACUAAAGAUCAAGGUUACUCUAAGAAAGAUGGUAUGGUCACAUGUCUUUAGAGCUAACAUGGUAUGGUUUCUUUUUGAAAGAUGGGAUUCUUUUACGAAAAGUAAUAUGUUUAGUACAAAAAAGAUUUAUUUUUAUAAAGAACUAGAUUAUAUCUACACAUAAAUUCUAAAUACCAUUGCUAUGUUUUCCGUUUAUAGGUUUCAAACUAUCUCACAAUGACUAUGAUGUAAUAUCUAGAGUCUCGAACUCUCCCAUUAUUUUGACCCUAAUUNNNNNNNNNNNNNNNNNNUAGCCUUCUAUGGAUCUAAUCUUUCUUCUGUUGAAAGGACUCUCCCAUCAACUUACUAGGCUUAUGGUUUUUGUCUUAACAGUAAGAUGUUAACACUUUAACAAGUUAGAUCCAAAUUUAGUUAAGUAAAUUAAGUCAAAUGUCAUAUCUUAACCCCCAAUAUUAAAAAUUCAACUCCCAAUCCUAAUAGACUUUGAAUUUAGUUCUAACCUAACAAUUAAACAAAAUUUCGAAUUUAUUUAUUUAAAUUCACUAAAUUUGAAAUGUUAAUAAAUUACUCUUAUUUAACUUUCAUAUAAAAAUUAAUUUAUUUUAUAAGAAAUCACAUUAAUUUAAUUUGUUUUGAGAGAGAGGGAGCUAGAGAGAAAGAGGAACAUCACCGAAUAAAUUAAAAUGAGAAAUAUAUAUAUUAUAGUAGCUUGUUAUCAUUAGAAUGAAUAGUCAUAAACUCAUAAUAUACAACACAUUGUAGUGUUGGACAACAAAAUCCUCCAGUACAAUCUUUUGAUCUUUCAUGGUGUAGCUCCAGACCAGUGAAUUGAAAUCGAGCAAUUAUAAUAACAAUCGUAUUUCAAAUUUAUGAUUCAGGAGCAGGAGCAGGAGCAGAUUCUUCUCCAUUGACCUCAAGUUGGCUAUAGUUUCCUUUAGACUUGAAGAGUUGAAUAUGGUGAUGCUUGCAAUACAACCUGCCCUCAUGAGCAAUGUAAUUUGAAGGGCUUAUGGUGCACCCCCCAUGGCAGCACUUGAAACAGCUUCUAUGGUAUGCAGAUCCAUUAACAGUAACCUACAUUCAAAUAGUUUAAUUACACACAUAAAGUAGUCAUUUUUUGCAUUUUGUACAGAGUUUUAAAUGAAAAAAACGAUAUGAAAUGGUAAUAUUUUUACCCUUUCAGUUGGAUAAACGGUCUUGGAACACCCAACACAUUUCUCUCUAGUACCCCCGAAUAAAUUUGAGACUUUGGCUGCAUUCUGUUAGAUAAAAAAAAAUCGUUGCAUCAAUAGCACAUUGUCACAAGAUAAGUUUAUUUUUGAUUUUUUUUUUUUUUGUUGUGAUAAAAAGCAAAUUGUCCAAAUUAAAUACCUCAGCGUUAACAGGUUUUUCAAUCUUGAACUUUGGUGUUCCUGAAAUAUAUCAAACACAAAAUAUUUUUUGAGGAAUUUGUAAUUUAAAAGUUUGAAACGUAUUUAGAAAAUAAUAUUAAUCAUUAAAUUAACCGUCAAAGCUCUUUUCCAAGCUGCCAGUUCUCUUGAAGAGUUGAUCAAAGUGAGGCUUGCAAUACACGACUCCGUCGAAAGAAUUGAAGUUGCUAAGCUGCAAAUAUUCCCGAUCAAAUUAUAUUAGUUUUAUGUUAUAUAAGUUAACUUUUUAUUAAUUUUAUCUGUGUAAUAUUGUUAUUUUACGUGUUUUAUUUAUGAUAUUACGAAAUAAGAAUGAUUUUUAUUUGGGUCAUGUUGAUUUUUGGAAAUAAAUGAAAAUUGAAAGAAAAAAAAUGAAACAUAAUAUUGUUUAUAAAAAAUGAAAAAGAAACUAACCUUGAGGGUACGGUUGCAAUGAUGGCAUCGGAAACAGGCUUUGUGAUAAAUACGUUGAUUGGCUGCUAGCCGAUCAACCAAAUAUACAGUUUUAUCACAAACUGCACAUUUUUGUGUUGUUGCUACAAACCCUCCGGCCAUUUUUUUGUGAACAGAGUUCUUUUUCUCUUGUUGUAAUUACAAUAAACAACUUGAGAAAAAGAACUCGAUCAAACUCGUUUAUUUUCUACAUUUUAAUCUUAUUUUUCCUAUCCCUUAAAUAGGUAGAUAAACAUGAUUGAAUAGUGGGCUGGGAGCAAAUUAAGGAAAAACUAUGAUCCGAUCAUCAUGCAUUCCUAUUUUAAGUCUUUUACCUUUUCAUUACUUCAUCCCUUAUUUUUCUCUAGAAGGAUUAAUAAAAUGACCACAAGAAGAGUAAAAUUUUAUGUCGUCCGUUUAUUAACAUAUUGCUAAUAAUAUACCAGGCAUACCGAUAAUGAAACUUAAAGCAUGGCCUUAAAAACUUAUUCAUUUCUAGGUAAUAAUAUUAUUGAAUUCUACGGUUAAAAUAAUUAAUGAAACUGUUUUUUGGUAAUUCCUUCAUUGAUUCAAGUAGUUGAUGAGAUUAACAUCUAGGUGGCUCAACAAGGAUUUUUUUUUCGAGCAUAAAAAAAUUAUCAAUUGAAGUUUAACAUAAGUUACAAACUAUCAAUAACUAAUAUACGCGAUUAAUUCCCCUGUGAUAAAGGGAUUGAUGUUAAUUCAACACCUUUUUUUAUGUCAUUAUAUUAAGACCACGUGGAUCAUCUUUUACUUCAUGUUUGGUUGCACAGUGGCGGAGCUUCGAUCUUUCAUUUGGGGGGCCGAAAAUAUAAUUUGUAUAAAAAUUGGUGAAUAGGGGGGGUCAUAGUCAAAAUUUUAUAUUUUUGGGCCUAAUAUGUAUAAAUCUUAAAGUAUAAGGACUAUUUCCGCCAAAAAAAUAAGAUCCGCCCUUGGUUGCACACUCGAUUUGGAGGCAAAUUGGAAGGUGGUGGAACGUAGAUUUGUCUAUGUUUUUGACUUUUGUGGAUUUAAUCACUUGGCAGACAAAGCAAAGUUAAAUGCAGUUAAAAGGAAAGGUUUCGGUGUCAUCAUUACCACAACUUGUUGGGUCCUUUGGAACUUCCGAAACAAUACUUUAUUUGGAGCGAUGAAACCCAGGAAGUCAAUUAUCUUUAAUAACAUAGUUUCUCAAUCGUUUUUUAGAUUUAUAAUAUGAGUAAAAAACGUAUAAGAUAAAGUGUAUUGGUUGGUUGCAUUCUAUAAUAAUAUGUGCAAAAAGGCAAGAUAAAAUGUCUUGGUUGGUUGCAUGACCCUUGGAUUGCCAUUUCCUCUUUGUAAUGUCUUUGUCUAGCAUCUUGCUAAACCUUAUCAAAGUUCAGCCGUCCAGGAAAAGAAAACUCCAUGGUAAUCCAAAUAACUGAUAUGCACUUAAAUGGUCAUUUCGUUUGAUAAUGUAGCCCAACAUUAUACAUAUGAUGAAUAAAAUUAGUGAUAAACAUUGAACUAAACUGAGAUAAAAAGACAAUUUGGUAAUGAGUUUGAUUAAACUUCUACAAAUAAAUGGUAGAAAUACACCUUAAAUACAUUUACACACACAACAUGUAGUAAUUGUAAAAAUCAAAGCCUACCCAUGCAUGCCACCAUGCUCAUUAGAACAGAUUUUCAUUCUCCCAGACCAUAAUUACUUUUGAUAUCUAUUUAGCCAAAUGAUUUUAUAAUAUAAUUCCAUGCACAAUAGUAAUCAAGAAAGGGCAUUUGGUCUAGUGGUAUGAUUCUCGCUUCGGGUGCGAGAGGUCCCGAGUUCGAUUCUCGGAAUGCCCCCUGACCUUUUUCAUUUCUUGGAUUCUUAUUUUAUAUAUGAUAUAAUUAUAUGGUGAUACUGUUAUAAACAAUCGGGCAUUUGGUCUAGUGGUAUGAUUCUCGCUUCGGGUGCGAGAGGUCCCGAGUUCGAUUCCCGGAAUGCCCCCUCUUUUUUGGCGUAUAUUUUGAUUAAACAGAGAUUCGAAUGUCACAAACUGAAAUUUGGAAUAAUAUCUUUGGAGCUGAUUUUGUCCUCAACGCCUGGUAUAAAAUAAAAUUUAACAGAUAAUUAGAUAUUGAUCUCAAACUGUUUGCAGAAUUGUUAUCAAUGAAAUAACAUAGAAAUGCAUCAAGGGCAUUUGGUCUAGUGGUAUGAUUCUCGCUUUGGGUGCGAGAGGUCCCGAGUUCGAUUCUCGGAAUGCCCCUGUUUUUAGUUAUCAUUUUUUGUUGAAGACACACAAAAGAAAUAGAACUGUGCAAAGAGUUACUAUUUUGGGUUGUAUUCUUCUAUACAUACUAUCCUCAUACGGUGCCAAAAGUUUUAACCUAAUUUGGCAUUUCAAACAGAGACUCUGAGAGAGUUGUGACCACUGACCACAUUUCCAUAUCCAACAAGAAAAAGGGUUUUCAGUCAAAACUCAAAAGUAUGGUUAUCAGUUUUUGUUUCUAAAUGUAGAGCUGGUGAUGUUGAUUGUGAUAAAGUUUUUGUUGGGAAAUGUAUGAAGUCCUGCUGCUCAGUGAUUCCACACCACAAGUAUACAACUGAGAAACUUUCUUAUACUCCGUUGUAAAGAGGCUCUUAUAAGAUAACCUUCUUAUUACUUAACAUCUUGUGGUAACUAAUGGAUUUAUUGUGUACAGAACAAACAGUAACAACAACUGGGCAUUUGGUCUAGUGGUAUGAUUCUCGCUUAGGGUGCGAGAGGUCCCGAGUUCAAUUCUCGGAAUGCCCCUAAUGUUAAAGACAGAUUUUUUUUUCUCAUGGUGCUGUCGUUUUUAUGGAGACCAGUACACACACUCAUUCAUGGAGUCCUACAUAUUUAGUGCUUGUGAAAGUCCAGUCUCACAUAAAAAUCCAAGUGGGUUCACCGUAGCAUGCUAGAAUUCGGAAAAUAGCAACCAACAGAACUUUCAAAUAAACAUCUGAUUAUGAGAGCAUUGCUAAAAUUUUAACAUAAUCAAUAAACUACAUAUAAGCAAUAAUCAUCAACAAAUGUUUAUCUAGAUACCUUCAAUAGAUAAGCAAUACUAUCUCCAAAAGUUGUUAUCUUCCAAAAGUUGUAACACUCCCAUAAUGCUUUGGUACCAGCUACCAGCAAAAAAGAUACCGAUGGUGUUUUCUGAUUGUUGGAUCCUUAACAGCUAUAUUUAAACUUUAAAGAAAAAAAAUAAUAUAUUCAUCAAGUGCCAAAUGGAUUCAUCAAGUUCAAACUCUGCUUAUUGGCCUUUAUCUUCAUCAUUAAAGACAUUUCAUCCUUAUCUAAUACAUAUGCGCCUAACACUCACGUUUUGUCAACAUUUUCUCGGGGUAUGCUUCUUCUUCUUCAUGAUACUGCAAGAUUAAGUGGGCCAAUAAAUACUUAAAAUCCUAUAAACAUAUGAAUUGUGAAGCUUCACAUGAUCGUCUCAAGCAAGAUUACUUCACUGGAAAUCUCAUAUAUGGUGAUGACAUGUUCUGGAUGUGAAGAGAAAUGUUCCUAUGAAUAGUUGAUGAUAUAGACCGUCCGUAUUUUAGAUUAUCUUGGAAUGCUAGAGGCAAAAUGCAUUUUAGUCAAUUGAGUGCACAUAUGCAAUACACAACUAGUGUAAGAGACAAUUCUUAACGUGUAUGCCGAGUAGUUGAAAGUCUACAAAACUUUUGUACAAGUGUUAUAUUGUAUGUGGACAAUAAUAUUUGUAUAAACCGACUGUCAAUGAUAUACGAUUUUUGUAUAUGGUAUAUGAAUCCUAACAUGAAUUUCCUGGAAUGCUAGACAACAGUGGCAAAGGGAAUGAAGAGUAAAUUAUGAGCAAGAAAAGAACCAUAGAUUCUUUUUUCAAAUGAAUGGAAGAUGUGUGUGAUCUACAAUUGCUUCCGGUUAGUGAUAAUACUAAAGAUGAUGUUCAUAAUAUACAUAGAAAAGCCCAGUAAUAUUCAACCUGAAGAAAAAAAUGAUAUAUUAGAUUUAGGAGAGUUAAAAUUAGAUUAUUUGAUUUGUAAUCCAAAAGAACGACCUUCAAUCUCAAGUUAUCCAAGUAACCAACAUGAUGAGAUUAGACGAUUAUAUAUUAAACUUGGACCAUACCAAUUUUUAAUUCUUAGCAAUUUUUUUUUUUUUCAUUUAAAAUUUUAGACCAUUACUUUAUGCGUGUAUAACAUUAUAUUUUAAUAUAUUAUUGCUACGUAAAAUUAUCAGCCCCUCUAUUCUUAAAUCUUGGCUCCGCCCCUACUAGACAACAUUGAUUGUACAAAUUGGUCUCAAAGGAAUUAUGCUUGAAGGGCAUCCUUGCAAAAUUUAUGGAUUUAGUAUGCAUUUUUUUGGUGUGGCCAAAUCCAAUGAUAUAAACAACCUCGAUCAAUCACAAUUAUUCAAAGUUAUAUUAAAUGGAACUGCACCUAGUUGUCCAUUCCGAGUUAACCGAGUACACUACAAGCAUAUGUAUUAUAUUAAUAUUCCGCCGAUGGGAUAUACCCCAAAUUGGGAUACUUUUGUCAAAACAUUUACCUUUCCAAAUGAUGAUAAAUAAAAAUAGUUCAAAGCAACAUAAGAACCAAUAAGGGAAGGACAUGGAAAGAGUUUUUGGUGUUGUUAAAAUUCAUUGGGGGGUAUAUAUUGAAACCAUACACAGGCAAUACAUACUAGAAGAAUUAUAAAUAUAAUGUAUGAUUGCAUUGUAGUACACAAUAUGAUUUUAAAAGACAAAGGUAAAAUGAUAUGUCAUUUUCACGAAACAAAUCUCCCAACCUAUCAAGAAGGUCUAAACGUUAAUCAAGAUACUCUUAAGGAAUUGUAUUGUCGAAAACCCCACAACAACCUUCGAUCGGAUCUUGUGAAACACACUACAAACUUCUACAUGCUACUUGUAAUUUCUUUUAUUAUGAUGUUAUUUAUUUAGUUGCAUUUUUUAUUUUGAGUUAUUUGUUUAGUUGUAUUUUUUAUUUUUGACUAAAGUUUUAAAUUUAGUGUACUCUUUUAAUCUCUAUUUAAUUUAGUAUUUUAAUAAAACAAAAGUGUGAGAUGAUGUAGCAUAGAAAGAUAAAUAAUUUCUAUAGUUUGGGUUGAUUUUAGGAUAGAGUGGAAAAAUAGAGGAAAACCAUUGAUGUUAAUAUGGAAAGAAAGAUGGAAAAAUGACCAUUCCUUCCACCCUAAGGGCACUAUACAUAUUUCACACUAGAGCGUCACAUCUAGCUAGAAGUCAAGAAAUUUUUUAAGCUUAAAACCUAGCUAGCACACAAUAUCUUUUAAAUGAAUAAACAAUGUUCAAUACAAACCACUUCAUCAAUAUACAUACGAUAAACAAUUGUAUAAAAGUUGUAUCACCAUAUUAGGACCAUCACUCGACCUCCAACCGACCACCUAACUUGCCCCCACAAUGAGAUCCUAGUGGUUGAGGUGUUAAAUUAUGAAGAAAGAGGUUCAAAGUUCAAACCUAGAAACACCUAAAGUAUUACUAGUGCUCCAUGAUUUAAUCCCAUAUGAUAUGAUGGGCCAUGGGAAGGUUCGGCAUGGGUCACCCUGAUGGUGCAAUUUAUCAUUGUUUUAAAGUGUUCACCAAAUUCCAACGAAAGGUAAGGUAUAUGGAAGACAAUUUAGUAUUAUUUAGAAUAAUAGGGAUAACUAGUGUUCCAUUAAUGUGACUCACUUAAUGUCACAUAUCACUCCAAGUGUGUCUUAUAUUGGUAUAACUUACACACUUUAAUAAAUGGUACAUGUAGAGGUAACAUAUGUCAUUAAUGUAGCUUUAUAUGCAUAAGAAGUGACUUUGUCUCCUGGAUAUAGUUCAUUAAAUUUGAGAUUUUAUGAAAAAACAUGAUAUAUAGAAGUGACAUGUCGCCAAUAUAGGCCCAACAUGAAUUAUGCCCUAUAUAAUUUUAUUGGAAUGCAAAAAACAAAACCAUGUGGAGGCGACCGAUGAUGAAGGUUACUAUAUGUUUGGAUGUGGUAACAAUGUUUUGGUAUUAUAACUUUGAAUGUUUUGAUAUAACAUCAUGGUCCCUAUGGUUUAGGGUAAUUUACACGUUUGAUCUUUAACUUAUUUUUUUAACUCGAAAGUUCCUUGUUGUUUGUUUUUGUUAUGCGUUUGGUCUAUGUCUUACCUAAAAAGACUAAUUUACCCUUGAUUUUUUUAAUUUAUUUAAAUAAACAGACCCCCAACCCCACCCCCUCACGUUACCUUACCUACCCCACCAUUUUUCCUAUUUAAAUAAUAGUUUUUUUUAGGUAAGACAAUGAUCAAGCGUGUAACAAAAACAAAUAGUAGNGAGAGAGAGAGAGAGAGAGACAUAAGGGAUCGUGUCGCACCAAUAUAAGACACACUAACACUCCCUCUCAGAUUUGGAUGCUUGAUAAAGAUAGUAAGGUAUGUGUGCUGAGCCACAAGGGUGCGGGACGCCGACUAUGAUACCAUGUAAAUAUAUGUGGACCCUAAUAUUGUCUCUCCAAAAGAGCCCUUAUGGGGAGAAGGGAGGCUCCAACAUAUAUGUAAACAUAAGAGACCAUGUCACACUAGUAUGGGAUAUACAAACACAUUGUUUUGUAUUUUGUUUGAAUGUUAUGUAUUAGAUUUUAAGGAUUUUGAGUGCAUGCUUUUAGUUGUUUGUAAAGAAAUCAAAGACUUAAUACUUUCAUUACUCAAUAAAUUACAAAAAAAAAAAAAAAAAAACCUUACUACAUAACUCUAAAAAUAUUCUUGGCAAUUUACAGUUUAAUAAAAAAAGUAAACCAUUAACUCUAACAAUUCAAAGAAAACAUAGACUAAAAGGAAACCCUAAUAACAUAUGUAUAAGAUGAUCAACUUUGAUAGAGUGAGACAUAAGUGUAUUGGAAUUUAAAUUUUAUUUACGUAUUGGAUAUCGUUUGCGCAUAUCUUUUAUUAGCUUGUGCCUUAAGUUUAGGACAUUACGUUUUUAUCUUUUUCUAUGUAUUUAAACAUUAUGGGGAUCAAUAGAAGAAUGAAUUUUAUGCUGUCAAUUCCUAGAUGGUAUCUAAGCAUGUCAACGAAACUCUUACCUACAACAAUUAUACAGAUUGGUCUCAAGAGAGCCACACAUGUGUGACUUUCGACCAUGAUACAAUAUGAUGAGUUUUGAUAUAAAAUAUAAGUGUGUUUUUCAUAAAAACCGGUCAACAGAAGCGUUAAAAAUAACAAGUUUAUUUUUGAGUUUAUAAUAAAACCAAACCAUCUAGAAUCCAUUAAUAGAGGUUAGAAUAAUAUAAUAUAAAACAAUCAUAUAGUGUUUUAGAAUGGCAACAUUUGGAGCCUUUGAACCCACCUAGUUUUGGAGUGUUAAUGAAGAUAGAAAAAUAAAAGAGUAUAAUUUUCUCUACAAGUAUCCACCAUCAAGAUUAAGGAACUUGGAAUGAUAGUUUCGUCGUGUAUUCUUGAGUAUCUUACGCCUUUAAGUAACUAUCUCAAAUAAGCACUAAAAGAGACAACUCAAGGAAGCUUCAAAUCACCAAAAUAGCUUCAAAAGAGAGAGAAAUGAGGGGAGGAAAGGUGGUUUCGUUCACCAUAAGGAAAGAGUAAAAACUAGCCAAAAAAUGCAAGAACAUGCAUUCCUUUUAUACUCUCAUGCAAUACAUACAUUUAGAUUAUAAUAAUAUAAAGUAUCGGUAGUCUUUUAGAAGCAUGGAGAACAUAAAAGGAAAGUUGACAAUCAACAUCUUCUUUUAUAAAAAUGAUUUUGGCCAUGCUUAAGAAGAAGACAAAAAUUAUCUAGCUAGCUUAUUAACCAUGAUAUGUUAACUCAUUAACUUAAUCAUGGUUAACCAAAGUAUCCAAAACUUUGUACAUGACUUAUUAAAUCAUAUCAUAUGAUAUAAUAACUAGAUAUUAUUAUUUUCACAAAACAAUAAUUAUUCCCUAACUAAAUACAAGAAUUAAUAUUAUUUAAUAAUAAUAAUAAUAAAUAUACAAAAUGUGCCAACUUGAUAAAUGUGUGAUCCUAUAGGAUCAUAUAUUAUUAGCAAUAUCACUCAAUAAUGAUUCUUGGACAUAUAAAUUCAACAAAAUAUUAACAGAACUGGGAUAAAUAUUAACCGAGUAGGCAAUAUCCAGAUACGAAUUCUGCAUUCUACAUCCAUGCAUCUGAUUACCCCAAAUAGAUGCAUGUCAAUGAAACUCUUACUGACAACAACUAUACAGACUGGUCUCAAGAGAUGAUGAAAUUUCUCUUUGCCAAAAAUAAGGUUGGUUUUGUUGAUGGGUCCAUUGCGAAACCAGAAAAGGAUUCAGCCAAAUACAUGUCCUAAAUGCAUUGUGAUGCCAUGGUAAAAUGGUGGCUCAUAACAGACAUGGAAAAGGGAAUAAGGAGCAAUAUAAAGUAUGCUCAUACUGAUUCUGAGAUCUAGAACGAUCUAAAUGAGUGUUUUGGGAAAGAAAGCACGCCAAUGACAUAUGAAUUAAAACAAACACUCUCGAUGACGCAUCAGAACACAACCAUUGUGUCCAUCUAUUACACUAAGUUGCGUAAUCUCUAGGAUGAAAUCAGAUUUGUGCUUUCUUGUAACGACCCAAUUUUCAAGGUAAAAUUUUCAUUUUAGAAUAAGCAACCAUGAUGUCAUACAUAAGAAAUCCAGUUAUAAUUGUUUUCAAAACAUAAAUCAAAUACAACUUUUAUUCCAAACAUCAGAGUGUCCCAAAAGUCUGUGAGAGAGUGCACGUCACGCCAUCACGCCUUGCCCUUGGAAUCUGAAGUACCUGAAACCAUAAACAAACUUGUAAGCACGAAGCUUAGUGAGUUCCCCAGAGCAUACCCCACACAAAAACCACAUAACAUGCAAGCUAUAAAAGCUACCUCCACCACAUACACAUAUCCAUCAGCUAUAAAGCUACCUCUACCACAUAACAUAUCAAUCAGCUAUAAAGCUACCUCUACCACAUAACUGAUGAGUUUGAGCCAUAAGAACAUUCCUAUGUGCACAUACAAACCCUAAUGUUUGGAUCUAGGUUUCUCUAAUGAACAUGAUUUUCAUCCAAGACUUGCAAACCCUAGAUCUAUGGUAUACAAUCCGAAAUUGACAAUUUAAAAGAGAUCUAGAUGAUUACCUUUACUUGAAAGCUUGAAUCUUGUUAGUUGUUAUCCUUGGAGCUUAGAGUAGUUGUCACUCCUCUAAUGGAUUACAAACAUCAAGAGGAAAGAGGAUGAUUUGGAGAGAGGUUGUAGGUACAAAAUUGGCUCUAAGAACUCCUUAGGGUUUCUGGUAGCCGAUUUCUGUAGCCUCUGGGUCCUUUAAAUACUUGAGCUGCUAGGAUUACAACUUGAAACCCUAAUUGGAUAACUUAGGCCUUAAGCAGUCCAAGGAUCCUUCUAGAUUAGGGCUUGGACGAAUUCAAGGAGUCCAUACACCUUAAUUUCGUCCACCCUAUGAUCCAUAAGGAUCCACAGCCCAAAACCAACUAUCACACAAUUGACAGUUCUAGUCCCCUUUAUUUAAUUAAUCUCUUUUAGUCACAUAAUUAAUUCUUAAUUAAUUAUUGUCUAAUAUUAAUUAAACUAUAUGAUUUCUCCUUUGAUAUAUUAAUCAAAUAAUAUAUUAAUAAAUCAUAAUAACCUCAUUAUUUAUAAAUCAUCCUAUCAUGUUGCUCUGGUGAAGGCAACCCAAAAGGACCAUGCACAACCGGGUCAAGUACUUAUUAAAUAUAGUUACGGGCUUAGACACUAAUCAAACAGUCUCCCGCUUGGAUAAGUCUAGUAACUAUAAAUGUAAGCACAAUCCGAUUAGCAAUCGUAGCUUUCAAAGAUGCUAUCGAACUUUGAUCUUAUCAACAACCUGUCCUUUAGAUAAGGGAUCGUAUAGUCCUCUAUUCUAGAUAUUUUGCGGACAAUUACAUGGAACAUAGUCAUACUUAUUAUCCAACAGUUUGUUUCUCGAUCUCUGAUGUGCUUGACAUAGAACUUAAUAACAAGACACUCUUCUUCAACCUUUCAUAUAAUCAGAUCUAAUCAAGAAAAAAGAUUGAUUUUGUUUCUGGAUGAAACUUGGUAACCAUAUUAAUAAUAAUUGGAUCUAUUAUUCGCAACUAAUCGACACACACACACACACAUAUAUAUAUAUAUAUAUAUANNNNNNNNNNNNNNNNNNNNNNNNNNNNNNNNNNNNNNNNNNNNNNNNNNNNNNNNNNNNNNNNNNNNNNNNNNNNNNNNNNNNGGCUCGUGACAAAAUUGCAAAAAUGGUCCCUAUGGUUGUCAAAAUUUUGUAGUUUUGGUCCAAAACGAAAUGUUGGUGCACCACCGGUCCAAUUUUAGAUACAUUGUGUGGUUUUGAUCCCUAUUGUUGUAAUUUCUUGUGUUUUUGGUCCACAUCCCACCUAAAAUGACUAAUAUGCCCCUUAAAUAAUUAUACUUUAAUUUCUUUUAAUUAUUUUCUUAUUCUUAUAAUAAAAUAAAAACAAAAUAAACCCACCACAUACACACACACACACGCACACACACACACACUCUCUCUCUCUCUCUCUCUCUCUCUCUUCAUCUGCCAUCACAACAGCCUCAUCUCUCGCACUUCUUUUGUCCAUCGAGCAAACUCUACCAAACCCCCACUUGCCUGCCUUGUUCCACCAGAUCAUUCUUCUGUCCACCUCUCCUUCGAGUUUCAUCGUUGGAUGCCACCUCCGUUCUUAUUUCUUCGAGCGACCCAAGGUCGUCGAUUCUGCUGCUAUGCGUCUCUUAGAUCGAUGCCGAAGACGAGGAAGAAAAACCCACAAAGGGUCACCGGUCUCGAAGAAUCUGCAUAUUUGGAAGAAUUCUUAGCUCAUCAUCGCUUUAUUAAGGAUUCACACACACACACACACACACUUUUUGAAAUCAAUUGAGAAGUAGAAGACAUAUCAGGGGACGAAAUCGAUAUGAAAUUUGUCAGGAUUCAACCACUUUAAACCAGUAAACCCUAAUGGCUCGAUUAAUAGGUGUGUGUGUGUGUGUAUUUUUGAUUGCAGCUCUCAAGGAUCCGAUUUAAGGGUGAUAUCUGGUGGUUCGGGAAAGGGGUGAAGGAAGGUGUUCGAUUGUGGGUGAUUAAGGUGACUGGAGGAAUUUAUGAUUUUGGUUUUGCUUAGAAGAAAUCAAAGAGGGGAAAAUGCGAUCUUGGAAGAAGGAAUGAUUCUGAUGAUGAAUCGCUUUCACAAGUGUGGAAGGUUGUCAAGAACAUAAGGUGUUCGAUGAAUUAACAAAGAGACAAAUAAAGUUAUACCAUUGAAAACGACUCACCUUUGGCUGACCCACACACUCUGUUUCUGUUUCUUCUUCUUCUUCUUCAAAGCCUCACACAACUAUCAGUUCUUUUACUUUUGCUCCUAUAUAAUAUUCAUCACAAUCUUUUCUCCUUCUCUUGCAAAUUAAUGAACAACUUCAAAAUAGAACCAAAUCGAUUAGAAGGGCAGUAUUGAUGGGGAAGUGUUAUCGGGCAUGAGGAAGGAAAGAUGGGGGUGAGGGUGGGAUUGGAUGUUUAUGGUGGACAAUGGUGGCAGUCAAUGGUGAUGGUGGCGAACGGUGGUAGCAAUCGGUGGUGAUGGUGACGACCACUAAUGGUGAUAUGUUCUUUUUUGAGAGUGUGUGUGUGCGUUUUUGUUGAGAGAGAGGGGGAAAGAGAAAUGGUGGGUAGACCUUUUUU